This 263-nucleotide ribosomal RNA is filed under the name uncultured bacterium. RNAcentral's name for it is "partial 16S ribosomal RNA". It matches the Rfam family "Bacterial small subunit ribosomal RNA", at positions 90 to 354 of the family's 1533-position model. The record is from RNAcentral.
CAUGAGUGGCGGACGGGUGAGUAACGCGUGGGCAACCUGGCCUGUACAGGGGGAUAACACUUAGAAAUAGGUGCUAAUACCGCAUAACGGGGGAAGCCGCAUGGCUUUUCCCUGAAAACUCCGGUGGUACAGGAUGGGCCCGCGUCUGAUUAGCCAGUUGGCAGGGUAACGGCCUACCAAAGCGACGAUCAGUAGCCGGCCUGAGAGGGCGGACGGCCACACUGGGACUGAGACACGGCCCAGACUCCUACGGGAGGCAGCAG